RNAcentral lists this ribosomal RNA (296 nucleotides) under uncultured bacterium. RNAcentral describes it as "partial 16S ribosomal RNA". It matches the Rfam family "Bacterial small subunit ribosomal RNA", at positions 29 to 328 of the family's 1533-position model. The record is from RNAcentral.
AAUGAACGUUGGCGGCGUGGAUUAGGCAUGCAAGUCGAGGGCGAACCCCGCAAGGGGGGAGACCGGCGAACGGGGUAGGACAACAUCGGUAACGUACCCUCAGGACGGGGAUAGCGGCGGGAAACUGCCGGUAAUACCCGAUGAUCUGGCCGCACUGCGAUGGCGGCCAGCAAAGGUGUGAUUCCACCGGAGGAGCGGCUGAUGCGCUAUUAGCUAGUUGGCGAGGUUACGGCUCACCAAGGCGACGAUGGCUAGGGGGUNUGAGAGCAUGGCCCCCACACUGGCACUGAGACACU